RNAcentral lists this ribosomal RNA (442 nucleotides) under uncultured bacterium. RNAcentral's name for it is "partial 16S ribosomal RNA". It matches the Rfam family "Bacterial small subunit ribosomal RNA", at positions 338 to 795 of the family's 1533-position model. The record is from RNAcentral.
CCUACGGGGGGCCGCAGUGGGGAAUAUUGGGCAAUGGGCGCAAGCCUGACCCAGCAACGCCGCGUGAAGGAAGAAGGCUUUCGGGUUGUAAACUUCUUUUAAGAGGGAAGAGCAGAAGACGGUACCUCUUGAAUAAGCCACGGCUAACUACGUGCCAGCAGCCGCGGUAAUACGUAGGUGGCAAGCGUUGUCCGGAUUUACUGGGUGUAAGGGGCGUGUAGCCGGGCUGACAAGUCAGAUGUGAAAUCCCGUGGCUCAACCACGGAACUGCAUUUGAAACUGUCGGUCUUGAGUAUCGGAGAGGCAGGCGGAAUUCCGAGGGUAGCGGUGAAAUGCGUAGAUAUUAGGAGGAACACCAGUGGCGAAGGCGGCCUGCUGGACGACAACUGACGGUGAGGCGCGAAAGCGUGGGGAGCAAACAGGAUUAGAUACCCCGGUAGUC